CCCAGCAGUCUUGUUUAUUUGUCCGGCUGUGUUAGGGUUCGACAGAACAUUCAGCUUAACCCCGCCUUCGGGCGGGGUUUUGCUUUUUU
This 89-nucleotide small RNA is filed under the name Ectopseudomonas chengduensis. RNAcentral's name for it is "Pseudomonas chengduensis Pseudomonas rnk leader". The record is from RNAcentral. Lineage: Bacteria; Pseudomonadati; Pseudomonadota; Gammaproteobacteria; Pseudomonadales; Pseudomonadaceae.